Molecule: ribosomal RNA, 333 nt
Filed under: Sus scrofa (pig)
Lineage: Eukaryota; Metazoa; Chordata; Mammalia; Artiodactyla; Suidae
Description: partial small subunit ribosomal RNA
Rfam family: Bacterial small subunit ribosomal RNA
Source: RNAcentral
CUAGCCCUAAACCCAAAUAGUUACAUAACAAAACUAUUCGCCAGAGUACUACUCGCAACUGCCUAAAACUCAAAGGACUUGGCGGUGCUUCACAUCCACCUAGAGGAGCCUGUUCUAUAAUCGAUAAACCCCGAUAGACCUUACCAACCCUUGCCAAUUCAGCCUAUAUACCGCCAUCUUCAGCAAACCCUAAAAAGGAACAAUAGUAAGCACAAUCAUAGCACAUAAAAACGUUAGGUCAAGGUGUAGCUUAUGGGUUGGAAAGAAAUGGGCUACAUUUUCUACAUAAGAAUAUCCACCAUACGAAAGUUUUUAUGAAACUAAAAACCAAAG